This 497-nucleotide ribosomal RNA is filed under the name uncultured bacterium. RNAcentral's name for it is "partial 16S ribosomal RNA". It matches the Rfam family "Bacterial small subunit ribosomal RNA", at positions 28 to 507 of the family's 1533-position model. The record is from RNAcentral.
GAUGAACGCUGGCGGCGUGCCUAAUACAUGCAAGUCGAGCGAACGGACGAGAAGCUUGCUUCUCUGAUGUUAGCGGCGGACGGGUGAGUAACACGUGGAUAACCUACCUAUAAGACUGGGAUAACUUCGGGAAACCGGAGCUAAUACCGGAUAAUAUUUUGAACCGCAUGGUUCAAAAGUGAAAGACGGUCUUGCUGUCACUUAUAGAUGGAUCCGCGCUGCAUUAGCUAGUUGGUAAGGUAACGGCUUACCACGGCAACGAUGCAUAGCCGACCUGAGAGGGUGAUCGGCCACACUGGAACUGAGACACGGUCCAGACUCCUACGGGAGGCAGCAGUAGGGAAUCUUCCGCAAGGGGCGAGAGCCUGACGGUGCAACGCCGCGUGAGUGAUGAAGGUCUUCGGAUCGUAAAACUCUGUUAUUAGGGAAGAACAUAUGUGUAAGUAACUGUGCACAUCUUGACGGUACCGAAUCAGAAAGCCACGGCUAACUACGUG